AAUCUUCGGCAAUGGACGGAAGUCUGACCGAGCAACGCCGCGUGAGUGAUGAAGGNCUNNGGCUCNUNAAGCUCUGUUGCCAGNNNNNAAGGGCAAGGAGGGUGACUGCUCUUUGCUUGACGGUACCUGAGAAGAAAGCCCCUGCUAACUACGUCCCAGCAGCCGCGGUAAUACGUAGGGGGCGAGCGUUGUCCGGAAUUAUUGGGCGUAAAGCGCGCGCAGGCGGUUCUUUAAGUCCGGUGUGUAAGCCCGGGGCUCAACCUCGGGACGCACGGGAAACUGGGGGACUGGAGUGCAGGAGAGGGAAGCGGAAUUCCACGUGUAGCGGUGAAAUGCGUAGAGAUGUGGAGGAACACCAGUGGCGAAGGCGGCUUCCUGGCCUGUAACUGACGCUGAGGCGCGAAAGCGUGGGGAGCAAACA
RNAcentral lists this ribosomal RNA (421 nucleotides) under uncultured bacterium. RNAcentral describes it as "partial 16S ribosomal RNA". It matches the Rfam family "Bacterial small subunit ribosomal RNA", at positions 360 to 774 of the family's 1533-position model. The record is from RNAcentral.